RNAcentral lists this ribosomal RNA (498 nucleotides) under uncultured bacterium. Its description in RNAcentral is "partial 16S ribosomal RNA". It matches the Rfam family "Bacterial small subunit ribosomal RNA", at positions 28 to 507 of the family's 1533-position model. The record is from RNAcentral.
GACGAACGCUGGCGGCGUGCCUAAUACAUGCAAGUCGAGCGGACGAAUCGAAAGCUUGCUUUUGAUUCGUUAGCGGCGGACGGGUGAGUAACACGUGGGCAACCUGCCCUGUAGACGGGGAUAACACCGAGAAAUCGGUGCUAAUACCGGAUAACACGAAAUGUCGCAUGACGUUUCGUUGAAAGACGGCGCAAGCUGCCGCUACAGGAUGGGCCCGCGGCGCAUUAGCUAGUUGGUGAGGUAACGGCUCACCAAGGCGACGAUACGUAGCCGACCUGAGAGGGUGAACGGCCACACUGGGACUGAGACACGGCCCAGACUCCUACGGGAGGCAGCAGUAGGGAAUCUUCCGCAAUGGACGAAAGUCUGACGGAGCAACGCCGCGUGAGCGAAGAAGGCCUUCGGGUCGUAAAGCUCUGUUGUUAGGGAAGAACAAGUAACGCAGUAACUGGCGUUACCGUGACGGUACCUAACGAGAAAGCCACGGCUAACUACGUG